GAUGAACGCUGGCGGCGUGCUUAACACAUGCAAGUCGAGCGAAGCACUAAAGCGGAUUUCUUCGGAUUGAAGGUUUAGUGACUGAGCGGCGGACGGGUGAGUAACGCGUGGGUAACCUGCCUCAUACAGGGGGAUAACAGUUGGAAACGGCUGCUAAUACCGCAUAAGCGCACAGUACCGCAUGGUACGGUGUGAAAAGCUCCGGUGGUAUGAGAUGGACCCGCGUCUGAUUAGGUAGUUGGUGGGGUAACGGCCUACCAAGCCGACGAUCAGUAGCCGACCUGAGAGGGUGACCGGCCACAUUGGGACUGAGACACGGCCCAAACUCCUACGGGAGGCAGCAGUGGGGAAUAUUGCACAAUGGGGGAAACCCUGAUGCAGCGACGCCGCGUGAGCGAAGAAGUAUUUCGGUAUGUAAAGCUCUAUCAGCAGGGAAGAAAAUGACGGUACCKACUAAGAGCCCCGWYYUUYG
RNAcentral lists this ribosomal RNA (472 nucleotides) under uncultured bacterium. RNAcentral describes it as "bacterial SSU rRNA". It matches the Rfam family "Bacterial small subunit ribosomal RNA", at positions 28 to 502 of the family's 1533-position model. The record is from RNAcentral.